UAAGCAUAUCAAUAAGCGGAGGAAAAGAAACCAACAGGGAUUGCCCCAGUAACGGCGAGUGAAGCGGCAACAGCUCAAAUUUGAAAUCUGGCCCCUCGGGGUCCGAGUUGUAAUUUGUAGAGGAUGCUUUUGGUGAGGUGCCGCCCGAGUUCCCUGGAACGGGACGCCACAGAGGGUGAGAGCCCCGUCUGGCUGGCCACCGAGCCUCUGUAAAGCUCCUUCGACGAGUCGAGUAGUUUGGGAAUGCUGCUCAAAAUGGGAGGUAUAUGUCUUCUAAAGCUAAAUAUUGGCCAGAGACCGAUAGCGCACAAGUAGAGUGAUCGAAAGAUGAAAAGCACCUUGAAAAGAGGGUUAAAUAGUACGUGAAAUUGUUGAAAGGGAAGCGCUUGUGACCAGACUUGGGCGCGGCGGAUCAUCCGGGGUUCUCUCCGGUGCACUUCGCCGCGUCUAGGCCAGCAUCAGUUCGUCGCGGGGGAAAAAGGUUUCGGGAACGUGGCUCCUCCGGGAGUGUUAUAGCCCGUUGCAUAAUACCCUGCGGUGGACUGAGGACCGCGCAUCUGCAAGGAUGCUGGCGUAAU
This 578-nucleotide ribosomal RNA is filed under the name Trichoderma spirale. Its description in RNAcentral is "eukaryotic LSU rRNA". It matches the Rfam family "Eukaryotic large subunit ribosomal RNA", at positions 35 to 635 of the family's 3401-position model. The record is from RNAcentral. Lineage: Eukaryota; Fungi; Ascomycota; Sordariomycetes; Hypocreales; Hypocreaceae.